UAUGUUGAAAAAAAUAUUCUUAAAAUAAUAUUUAAUUUAUUUUUUUUUAUUUUGAAUCUUUCGUAAAUAUUUUCAGUUACCUUUAUAAUAGUUUCUAUAUUUUAAUAAACUAAUGUCUAAUAAUAGUAGGUUAUGACUUUUUAUUCAUGUUAAAAACCUAACUAAUUAAUGAUAAUUAUUUUAUUAAUUACUAUACUUAUUGUUUUCUUUAUUUUGGUCAAAAAUGAACAAAAUACAAAAAUGAAAAAAAAACAGUUUUUUUUUUUUAAAAUGGACUUUCAAGGCUUUACAAAUUUCUAAAGACUAAAAGAGUUGAUUGGCAAUUUUUUUGCUUUGAAGGCUUUACACAACCACAAAGCCUCAACAGCCCAAACAACAAUCGGACCCUUUGUUGCCUCCGAUACAAGCUUUCUCUCUUGGAUAUAUUCUUAUUUUCCCGGCGAAAAUGGCGAAUUAUUUCUCGGAGGUUUCUGGAAAAAGAGGAAGAGGAAGCAAGAUAUCCGAGGGCGAUGGAUAAGAGCAACUUCGAAGAUCCUUUCACCGAUCUCUCAGAUGACAAUCUCACUGUCAAGUACACAUACGGUGGCAGUUCUUCUAGCAUGGAGGGCAUGGUUCAGCCCCGAAUUCAGGCGCCGAUCAAGUGCAUCGCUUACUACUUGGAGAUUCUUGUGACUAACGCUGGGUCUGAGGGGCGAAUCGCUACUGGUUUCUCCACGGCGAGUUGGAUUGACAGUCUAGGGUAAUGCGCUCUAUCUUCGCCCCCUUUCUCCUGAUUAAGGUGAAACUAGGUCUAGAUGAAGUGAUUCGCUAAAGAAGAGAUUUAAGCAACUUUGAUGUGCGGCGUUUAGAUUCAGUGAAACUGAGCAAAUUGUGCGUUUGGAUGUUGAUUUUGUUUCUGUCACAGUACAUUGUUUGCAACGAUUCAGUGAACUUGAGCAAAUUUGUUUCUUGGACGAGGUCAUCAUGUACUUUUCUCUCCUCAAAGAGAGCAAAAACUGUUUUCUUCGUUGCUGUUUUGGUAUAUCACAAAUGUUUGGCUUUGUUUUUGUGAAAUUGGACUUCUUCAUUUAUACUUGUGAUUGUAGAUCAUCGGACUUCAAGAAAUGCUAUUAUCAUGGUGACACUGGCCUCAUUCACUGUCUCCAAGGAAAGGGUUUGACUAUAACUGCUGCCAACAAAACUACUGCAAGCACGUAUACGGGUUGCGGUAUAGACUAUGUUUCACAGGAAUUUUUUUUCACGUGAGUAACCAACUAGAGAUCCUAUCCAUUUCAAGUUUUCUUAUUUGCUGACAUCUUCCAUUUCUUAUUUGAUGAUAGCAAAAAUGGAUCUUUGGUAGGGACAAGCCCCAAGGUCUUCAAUGGUGUUCUGUACCCAACAGUGGCUCUACACAGCAAAAACGAGGAGUAUGUCUCUUCUUUUCUCUUUUGUGCAUUGACUGAUGAUUGCCUUUUCUCUGUUUUACUAAUCUUCUCUAUGCUUUUUUUUUUUCUUUUUGUUCUCAAUGAAAUCUCGGCAGAGUCACUGUGAAUUUCCAACCCCAAACGUUUCGUUUUGAUCUUGUGGGACACAAAACAUUUAUCAAGCGUGGAGAUUGAGAAGAUAUCUAUCUCUCCAAGCGUAACUCUAGACCUGGUGAAGAGCUACUUGGCUCGGUAUGGGUAUCAGAAUACCCUCCAUGCCCUGGGCGGUCCAGACAACACUGACUCUUCGGAUUCAGAUCCAGAUAACAACUCUUCGGAUUCAGAGAACCACUCUUCGGAUUCAGAUCCAGACAACCACCCUCCACAUCCGCCUUCUGGUCUUGAGGUAGUUCUCAGACAGCUUAGGGCUUCCUCUUACUUCUGCCGUCGAUGAAUCUAUUCUGCCUUCACCAGUUGCUUAUAGCCUAACCAUAUCGGCAUCUUUUUGAACAAACACUCAAAAACGUUCCACGGUUCCUUUCAGACUUUUUCGUCGUUUAAUUUCUUUUAGAAAAAUUCUCUUCUUUUUCUUUUUGGCUAUUGUGGAUAAAAGAAAAUAUUUGAUUUCGUAACAAUAGGGGGAAAACUUCAAAUGUCUUUUUCAAUCUCGCAAACAAUAUUGAUACA
Long non-coding RNA from Brassica napus (rape), 2090 nucleotides. RefSeq lists it as uncharacterized. The record is from RefSeq and is a predicted model, not a curated record. NCBI's taxonomy places the organism in Eukaryota, Viridiplantae, Streptophyta, Magnoliopsida, Brassicales, Brassicaceae. The transcript is spliced from 2 exons.